This 441-nucleotide ribosomal RNA is filed under the name uncultured bacterium. RNAcentral describes it as "bacterial SSU rRNA". It matches the Rfam family "Bacterial small subunit ribosomal RNA", at positions 958 to 1399 of the family's 1533-position model. The record is from RNAcentral.
AACGCGAAGAACCUUACCUGGGUUUGACAUGCACAGGACGCUGGUAGAGAUAUCAGUUCCCUUGUGGUCUGUGUGCAGGUGGUGCAUGGCUGUCGUCAGCUCGUGUCGUGAGAUGUUGGGUUAAGUCCCGCAACGAGCGCAACCCUUGUCUCAUGUUGCCAGCGGGUAGAGCCGGGGACUCGUGAGAGACUGCCGGGGUCAACUCGGAGGAAGGUGGGGAUGACGUCAAGUCCUCAUGCCCCUUAUAUCUUGGGCUGCAAACAUGCUACAAUGGCCGGUACAGAGGGCUGCGAGACCGCAAGGUGGAGCGAAUCUCAAAAAGCCGGUCUCAGUUCGGAUUGGGGUCUGCAACUCGACCCCAUGAAGUCGGAGUCGCUAGUAAUCGCGAAUCAGCAACGUCGCGGUGAAUACGUUCCCGGGCCUUGUACACACCGACGCGUA